This 3879-nucleotide long non-coding RNA is filed under the name Homo sapiens (human). RNAcentral describes it as "HSALNT0383537". The record is from RNAcentral. Lineage: Eukaryota; Metazoa; Chordata; Mammalia; Primates; Hominidae.
ACCCCCACUCCUACCUGCCAGAGAACAAACCCCCUUUGACUGUAAUUUUCCUUUACCUACCCAAAUCCUAUAAAACGGCCCCACCCUUAUCUCCCUUCGCUGACUCUCUUUUCGGACUCAGCCCGCCUGCACCCAGGUGAAAUAAACAGCCAUGUUGCUCACACAAAGCCUGUUUGGUGGUCUCUUCACAUGGACGCACAUGAAAUUUGGUGCCGUGACUCGGAUCGGGGGACCUCCCUUGGGAGAUCAAGCCCCUGUACUCCUGUUCUUUGCUCCGUGAGAAAGAUCCACCUAUGACCUCAGGUCCUCAGACCGACCAGCCCAAGGAACAUCUCACCAAUUUUAAAUCAGGUAAGCGGCCUCUUCUUACUCUCUUCUCCAACCUCUCUCACUGUCCCUCAACCACUUUCUCCUUUCCACUCUUCAAUCUCUCCCUUCUCUUAAUUUCAAUUCCUUUCAUUUUCUGGUAGAGACAAAAGAGACAUGUUUUAUCCGUGAACCCAAAACUCCGGCGCCGGUCACGGACUGGGAAGGCAGCCUUCCCUUGGUGUUUAAUCAUUGCAGGGACGCCUCUCUGAUGAUACACUCACGUUUCAAGGGUGUCAGACCAUGCAGGAACGCCUGCCUUGGUCUUUCACCCUUAGCGGCAAGUCCCGCUUUCCUGGGGCAGGGGCAAGUACCCCUCAACCCCUUCUCCUUCACCCUUAGCGGCAAGUCCCGCUUUCCUGGGGCAGGGGCAAGUACCCCUCAACCCCUUCUCCUUCACCCUUAGCGGCAAGUCCCGCUUUCCUAGGGGGCAAGAACCCCCAAUCGCUUAUUUCCGCACCCCAACCUCUUAUCUCUGUGCCCCAAUUGCUUAUUUCCGCACCCCAACCUCUUAUCUCUGCACCCCAAUCACUUAUUUCUGCACCCCAACCUCUUAUCUCUGCGCCCCAAUCACUUAUUUCCGCACCCCAACCUCUUAUCUCUGCACCCCAAUCCCUUAUUUCCACACCCUGACCUCUUAUCUCUGUGCCCCAAUCCCUUAUUUCCGUGUCCCAACCCUUUCUCUGCUUUUCUGGAGGGGAAGAAACCCCCACCCCUUCUCCGUGUCUCUACUCUUUUCUCUGGGCUUGCCUCCUUCACUAUGGGCAAGCUUCCACCUUCCAUUCCUCUUUCUUCUCCCUUAGCCUGUAUUCUUAAGAACUUAAAACCUCUUCAAUUCUCACCUGACCUAAAAUCUAAGCGUCUUAUUUCUUCUGCAAUGCCGCUUGACCCCAAUACAAACUCAACAGUGGUUCCAAAUAGCCAGAAAACGGCACUUUCAAUUUUUCCAUCCUACAAGAUCUAAAUAAUUCUUGUAAAAUGGGCAAAUGGUCUGAGGUGCCUGACGUCCAGGCAUUCUUUUACACAUCAGUCCCUUCCUAGUCUCUGUGCCCAGUGCAACUCGUCCCAAAUCUUCCUUCUUUCCCUCCCGCCUGUCCCCUCAGUACCAACCUCAAGCGUCACUGAGUCUUUCUAAUCUUCCUUUUCUACAGACCCAUCUGACCUCUCCCCUCCUCGACAGGCCUAGCUAGGUCCCAAUUCUUCCACAGCCUCCGCUCCUCCACCCUAUAAUCUUUUUAUCGCCUCCCCUCCUCACACCGGGUCUGGCUUACAGUUUCAUUCCGUGACUAGCCCUCCCCCACCUGCCAGCAAUUUAUUCUUAAAAAGGUGGCUGGAGCUAAAGGCAGAGUCAAGGUUAAUGCUCCUUUUUCUUUAUCCCAAAUCAGAUAGCGUUUAGGCUCUUUUUCAUCAAAUAUAAAAAUCCAGCCCAGUUCAUGGCUCGUUCGGCAGCAACCCUGAGACACUUUACAGCCCUAGACCCUAAAAGGUCAAAAGGCCGUCUUAUUCUCAAUACACAUUUUAUUACCCAAUCUGCUCCCGACAUUAAAUAAAACUCCAAAAACUGGAAUCUGGCCCUCAAACCCCACAACAGGACUUAAUUAACCUCACCUUCAAGGUGUGCAAUAACAGAAAAAAGUUGCAAUUCCUUGCCUCCACUGUGAGACAAACCCCAGCCACAUCUCCAGCACACAAGAACUUCCAAACGCCUGAACUGUAGCAGCCAGGCGUUCCUCCAGCAGCCAGCAAGUUCCUCCCCAAGGAGCUUGCUACACAUGCCGGAAAUCUGGCCACUGGGCCAAGGAAUGCCCGCAGCCUGGGAUUCCUCCUAAGCCACGUCCCAUCUGUGUGGGACCCCACUGAAAAUCGGACUGUUCAACUCACCUGGCAGCCACUCCCAGAGCCCCUGGAACUCUGGCCCAAGGCUCUCUGACUGACUCCUUCCCAGAUCUUCUCGGCUUAGCUGCUGAAGACUGACGCUGCCCGAUCGCCUCGGAAGCCCCCUAGACCAUCACGGACGCCGAGCUUCGGGUAACUCUCACAGUGGAAGGUAAACCCGUCCCCUUCUUAAUCAAUACGGAGGCUCCCCACUCCACAUUACCUUCUUUUCAAGGGCCUGUUUCCCUUGCCUCCAUAACUGUUGUGGGUAUUGACGGCCAGGCUUCUAAACCUCUUAAAACUCCCCAACUCUGGUGCCAACUUAGACAAUACUCUUUUAAGCACUCCUUUUUAGUUAUCCCCACCUGCCCAGCUCCCUUAUUAGGCUGAGACACUUUAACUAAAUUAUCUGCUUCCCUGACUAUUCCUGGACUACGGCUAUAUCUCAUUGCCACCCUUCUUCCCAAUCCAAAGCCUCCUUUGCGUCCUCCUCUUGUAUCCCCCGACCUUAACCCACAAGUAUAAGAUACCUCUACUCCCUCCUUGGUGACCGAUCAUGCACCCCUUACCAUCUCAUUAAAACCUAAGCACCCUUACCCCACUCAAUGCCAAUAUACCAUCCCGCAGCACACUUUAAAAAGAUUAAAGCCUGUUAUAACUCGCCUGCUACAGCAUGGCCUUUUAAAGCCUAUAAAUUCUCCUUACAAUUCCCCCAUUUUACCUGUCCUAAAACCAGACAAGCCUUACAAGUUAGUUCAGGAUCUGCGCCUUAUCAACCAAAUUGUUUUGCCUAUCCACCCAGUGGUGUCAAACCCAUAAACUCUCCUAUCCUCAGUACCUCCCUCUACUACCCAUUAUUCUGUUCUGGAUCUCAAAUAUGCUUUCUUUACUAUUCCUUUGCACCCUUAAUCCCAGCCUCUCUUUGCUUUCACUUGGACUGACCCUGACACCCAUCAAGUUCAGCAAAUUACCUAGGCUGUACUGCCGCAAAGCUUCACAGACAGCCCCCAUUACAUCAGUCAAGCCCAAAUUUCUUCCUCAACUGUUACCUAUCUCGGCAUAAUUCUCAUAAAAACACAUGUGCUCUCCCUGCCAAUCGUGUCCGACUGAUCUCUCAAACCCAAGCAUUUUCUACAAAACAACAACUCCUUUCCUUCCUAGGCAUGGUUAGCGUGUUCAGAAUUCUUACACAAGAGCCAGGACCACACCCUGUAGCCUUUCUGUCCAAACAACUUGACCUUACUGUUUUAGCCUAGCCCUCACGUCUGCAUGCAGCAGCUGCCGCUGAUUUAAUACUUUUAGAGGCCCUCAAAAUCACAAACUAUGCUCAACUCACUCUCUACAGUUCUCAUAACUUCCAAAAUCUAUUUUCUUCCUCAUACCUAACGCAUAUACUUUCUGCUCCCCGGCUCCUUCAGCUGUACUCACUCUUUGUUGAGUCUCCCACAAUUACCGUUGUUCCUGGCCCAGACUUCAAUCCGGCCUCCCACAUUAUUCCUGAUACCACACCUGACCCCCAUGACUGUAUCUCUCUGAUCCACCUGAUAUUCACCCCAUUUCCCCACAUUUCCUUCUUUCCUGUUCCUCACCCUGAUCACACUUGAUUUAUUGAUGGCAGUUCCACCAGGUCGGAAGAGC